CCUUGCCGUUGUUCUUAUUUUGUUUUUAUUGUUCAUCAAUUUUCAGGUUUAUUAUUUUUUUUUAAAUUGUUUUUAUAAAGAAAUGAAGUUUAUGUAAGUUAAGUUAGCCAUGAUUUACAGUUACAAUAAUAAUCAAAAAUUUAAAUUUAAAAUUUUAGAAUAUUCAAUGAUUUUGUUUCCCUAUUCUUCUCAGUCCUCUUUAAAGUUCCGUACUUUUUCAGAUUAUUGCUAAUGGCGGAAAUCUUUACGCCGUAGGGCUUCUUGUUGUAAACUUUAUUCGCGAGGUUGUUUGCAUAUAUCAUACGUCUUGUUACAAGCUCGUGAGCUUGUAUUAAAACGCAAAUGUGUCCUGCAAGAAUAGAAAUUUUUGCCUCUCUGAGCACCGACACGGGAGUAGUCGUGUGUUCGAAUCUCAUCUUGGUAACUAUUUUUACUUUUUUUUCUUUUUACUAUCUCGCCUGCGAGGAUGUGUUUCCAACUCGUAACUAACUAACCAAAUGGUCAAUUGCAACGUCACAAAUUUAAACUUCAUACCUAAACUCUCUAAGUACUUAAAAGUCAUCGGCCAAAUUUGGUAUUUGUUUUCGACAAAAUUUGGCACAGUUAACAAAAAAAUUAUGCUGAACAUAAUAGUGACAUCAUAAUUUUGAUUUUUGUCACCUAAUUGUUAUUUUAGGCCAAAAUUGGACCAAAAAUUAAAAUUACUUUAUUUUCGACAAAAUUUGGCAAAGUUAACAAAAAAGUAUGCUGAACAUGAUAGUGACAUCAAAAUGUUAAUUUUUUGUUAACUAAAUGCCGUUUAAGACCAUAAACGUUCCAUCGCGCGACUUUCAACCAUGAAUGAUAGGCUGCAUUUUUUCUUUUUUCUAGUAAUAUGGUUUUUUAACUAAAGCUAUUUCCUUUUUCGAACAAUUAAGAUCGUAUAUUAUUUUUCUUUAUUUUGCUUUUUCUCACUAAGUGACUUUCUUAUACCCCGUUGUUUUUUUGUUGUUGUUGUUGUUGUUUUGUUUUUGUUUUUGUUUUUUUUGGGGGGUUACUGAAUUUCAAAAAUUUUAGGUGGAGCUUGUGGUCUUUCUUCUUCUUGUUUUGUCUGGUCUCCAAAAACAAUGACGAAUAGAAUAGAAGAAAAUUAAAUCUGAGUGGAGAAAGUGAUACUUAUGUUUUUACGCGCGGCCACUUUUUUAAACAGAAUUAAAAUUUCUUUCUACUUUUUGCAAAGACAAAACAAGCCAAAAAGAACAGCAUGGUGACUCGGAGCCUACCAUAUUGUGAUUUUAUCGAACUCCAUCUCAGAGCUCAUUUAAAGUUAAGGCCGUUUGGUUACCUACGGUUUCACACGAAUAUUUUGUGACGGCCCGCUUAUUAGACAAGAAUAAGAGAUCAACAAGAUCGUUAAAUAUGGCGGCUGGAAAAAACAACAAUAAAACUAAGAUAUUGAAGUACCAUUAUUUCGAUUUCUAAUACCUUUUACAUCCUCAAAUUUUCAGGAAAGCCAUAACUCCGUCUGAACUUUGAAAUAAAUAAAUAAAAUGUAUAUGUUAAUUUUUUUUCGAUAAGGGUGAUUACGCGCCUUUAAGAGGUAGCUAAGAAGUAAUUUAUUGCUUGUGUUUUUAAAAGAGAAAGUUCUAAACAUUGGAAGUAAACAUUCAGCUUUAUUUCUUAGAAAUAAUUAAUAAUGCAUUAGCUGCACAUAUUUUUAUGUUUUACCCAAAUAUCUUCAAGAUUUUACAUAUUCUUGCUGAAGUGCCAGUAAUGACAUGUUCUUGUGAAAGAUCUAUAUCAACGCUACGACGAGUAAAGACAUAUUUAAGAAGCUCGAUGACCCAGAAUCGAUUUAAUGGCUAUGUGUUGCUAAAUAUCCAAAACGGGAUGAAAAUAAAUUUAAAUGACGUAAUCGAUAUGCUGGCAAUAAAAUAUCCAAAAAGACUUAAAAUGUUAGAUAUCAUGAACAACGAUUAAAAGUGUAGCAGUCUUGAUAAAAAUAUAAAUCUUGUAUAUUAUUAUCUGUUGUUUAAAUGUCGCCGUAUAUAAAUUCCCUAAAA
Molecule: long non-coding RNA, 2042 nt
Organism: Hydractinia symbiolongicarpus
Lineage: Eukaryota; Metazoa; Cnidaria; Hydrozoa; Anthoathecata; Hydractiniidae
Exons: 2
Source: RefSeq, a predicted model, not a curated record